RNAcentral lists this ribosomal RNA (253 nucleotides) under uncultured bacterium. RNAcentral describes it as "partial 16S ribosomal RNA". It matches the Rfam family "Bacterial small subunit ribosomal RNA", at positions 524 to 776 of the family's 1533-position model. The record is from RNAcentral.
UACGUAGGGGGCAAGCGUUGUCCGGCAUUAUUGGGCGUAAAGCGCGCGCAGGUGGUUCCUUAAGUCUGAUGUGAAAGCCCACGGCUCAACCGUGGAGGGUCAUUGGAAACUGGGGAACUUGAGUGCAGAAGAGGAAAGUAGAAUUCCAAGUGUAGCGGUGAAAUGCGUAGAGAUUUGGAGGAACACCAGUGGCGAAGGCGACUUUCUGGUCUGUAACUGACACUGAGGCGCGAAAGCGUGGGGAGCAAACAGU